This 468-nucleotide ribosomal RNA is filed under the name uncultured bacterium. RNAcentral's name for it is "partial 16S ribosomal RNA". It matches the Rfam family "Bacterial small subunit ribosomal RNA", at positions 28 to 507 of the family's 1533-position model. The record is from RNAcentral.
GACGAACGCUGGCGGCGUGCUUAACACAUGCAAGUCGAGCGGAAAGACCCUGCUUUUGCGGGGUUCUCGAUUGCCGAACGCGUGAGUAACACGUGAGUAACCUGCACUUAACUUUCGGAUAAAUUCAGGAAAAUGGGGCUCAUAUCGGAUAGGAGAUCCUGCUGCGUGGUGUGCGUUAGAAAGUUUCGGCGGUUGGGGAUGGACUCGAGGCUUAUCAGCUUGUUGGUGGGGUAGUGGCUUACAAAGGCUUCGAAGGGUAGCCGGCAUGAGAGGGUGACCGGCCACAUUGGGACUGAGAUACGGACCAGACGCCUACGGGAGGCAGCAGGGGGGAAUAUUGCACAAUGGGCGGAAGCCUGAUGCAGCAACGCCGCGUGCGGGAUGACGGCCUUCGGGUUGUAAACCGCUUUGGCCUGUGACGAAGCGUGAGUGACGGUAAUGGGUAAAGAAGCAACGGCUAACUACGUG